Cuculus canorus (common cuckoo) is the source of this 498-nucleotide long non-coding RNA. RefSeq lists it as uncharacterized. The record is from RefSeq and is a predicted model, not a curated record. The transcript has 4 exons. Lineage: Eukaryota; Metazoa; Chordata; Aves; Cuculiformes; Cuculidae.
GGCCAGAAUUUGCCGUGGGUGAGCUCAUCCAUCUGGGAGCAAAGGGCCAGCUCCUCAGCUUGACGCACGCGGGUGACCUUCUUCAGAGGUUGUCUGGGUGUGACCAAGAGCAACACUUGGCCCUAGAAAUCAAGAAAAUAACUUUCUCCUCUGGACUGACACUGAGGUACAACAACUGCAUGGGACAAGUCCUAGGUGUGGUUCCAGUCCAAUUCUUUGACAGAUUGGGUUCCUAGAGAAGGAAACAAGAGCUAGACUCCUCUCCCCUCAACAAGAAAAGUUAAAUCUUGUACUACAGCCAGAUCAAAAUAACCAGGAAGGAAUGAGUAGAUGAGGUCUCAGUCUCUCCCUAUUGAUGCUAUAACACACUGCAAUGCUGGAUGUUACCUGCACUCUGAGAUGCCCUGCAAAAUUGCCCACAGCAGCUGAGGGGGACCUAGCAAACAAAAGUCCCAUCUCCUCUUUGCAUUGCUGUGGUAUUUGAUCUUGCCUUCAACA